UUUCCGUAGGUGAACCUGCGGAAGGAUCAUUCAUAAUAAAGUGUUUUAUGGCACUUUUUAAAAAUCCAUAUCCACCUUGUGUGCAAUGUUAGAUCUCGUCAAUCUUGGCGAGAUUUUUAUACAUCAACUCAUUCUUCAACUAAUUUGUCUGAAAAAUAUUAUGAAUACUUAAUUCAAAACACAACUUUCAACAACGGAUCUCUUGGCUCUC
RNAcentral lists this unclassified non-coding RNA (211 nucleotides) under plant metagenome. Its description in RNAcentral is "partial contains small subunit ribosomal RNA, internal transcribed spacer 1, and 5.8S ribosomal RNA". The record is from RNAcentral.